This 22-nucleotide microRNA is filed under the name Salmo salar (Atlantic salmon). RNAcentral's name for it is "ssa-miR-219a-3p". Its record names the gene ssa-miR-219a-3p. Lineage: Eukaryota; Metazoa; Chordata; Actinopteri; Salmoniformes; Salmonidae. The record is from miRBase by way of RNAcentral.
AGAAUUGUGCAUGGACAUCUGU